Molecule: long non-coding RNA, 804 nt
Filed under: Pan troglodytes (chimpanzee)
Lineage: Eukaryota; Metazoa; Chordata; Mammalia; Primates; Hominidae
Description: long non-coding RNA NONPTRT017775
Source: RNAcentral
GCUCUGUCACCCAGGCUAGAGUACAGUGGUGCAGUCAUGGCUCAAUGCAGCCUCAACCUCCUGGACUCAAGCAAUCCCACCUCCCACCUCAGCCUCCCGAGUAGCUGGGACUACAGUAUGAUGCCGACACCAGCUGUGCAGAAAGGGCUCUGGAGAGAUGUUCAUAGCAGCACACACCUGCGGCUCUUCUUCGGUUCUGGAGGCUCCAGGGCAGCCAAUAUUGCUUCGUCAAAUACAUUCUUUAGGCCUUUCUGUGUAAGUGCAGAACACUCCACAUACUUGACAGCCUUCAGGUCACGGGCCAGCUUUUCAGCAGUCUCUGGAGUGAUAGGCUUCUGUUUGUUCUUGGCAAGUUUCUCAAUAGUAGAGGGGUCAUCUCUGAGAUCAAUUUGAGUCCCAACAAGCAAGAAAGGAGUCUUUGGACAGUGGUGAGUUAUCUCAGGCACCCACUUUUCUUUCACAUUUUCAAAUGAAGAUGGAGAGACCACUGAAAAACAGACUAGAAAUACAUCUGUUUGUGGAUAACUCAGCGGUCGUAAUCUGUCAUAAUCCUCUUGCCCUGCAGUAUCAAAAAGUCCAAGAGUAUAUGGUUCUCCACCAAUCAUAACUGUGACUGCAUAGUUGUCAAAAACAGUCGGUACAUAUUCCGAUGGAAAUUUGUUUGUUGUGUAGGAUAUCAGGAGACAUGUUUUACCAACAGCACCAUCGCCCACAACAACACACUUAAUUGUCUGCAUUGCUGAAAUAGUUUUGUAUCCACUUUAAAUAUUUCAAAUCUGAUGUUGACCUCAGCUUCUCCACCCA